Xenia sp. Carnegie-2017 is the source of this 170-nucleotide long non-coding RNA. RefSeq lists it as uncharacterized. NCBI's taxonomy places the organism in Eukaryota, Metazoa, Cnidaria, Anthozoa, Malacalcyonacea, Xeniidae. The transcript has 3 exons. The record is from RefSeq and is a predicted model, not a curated record.
ACUAUAUUGCACACCAAAUAGACUCUUCUGGUUCAUUUUAAGCAGGAUAGGAAUCAUGUCAAGUGGAAUGAAUGGAUACCAAUUAUUUUGUAAAGAAGAAGCUUCUAACGAUGACUCCUUAAAGUCUUUGUCAUUUCACGCUAGAAAUGUUGAAUUGGGACAACGAUGGC